GAGGACGAACAGCCACACUGGGACUGAGACACGGCCCAGACUCUACGGGAGGCAGCAGUGGGGAAUAUUGGACAAUGGGGGGAACCCUGAUCCAGCAAUGCCGCGUGUGUGAAGAAGGCUGAGGGUUGUAAAGCACUUUCAGUGGGGAGGAGGAUUUAUGGGUUAAGAGCUGAUAAAUUGGACGCUACCCACAGAAGAAGCACCGGCUAACUCCGUGCCAGCAGCCGCGGUAAUACGGAGGGUGCGAGCGUUAAUCGGAAUUACUGGGCGUAAAGGGUGCGUAGGUGGUUAAUUAAGUUAGGUGUAAAAUCCCUGGGCUUAACCUAGGAAUGAGAUUUAAUACUGAUUAACUGGAGUAUUGGAGAGGGUAGUGGAAUUUCCGGUGUAGCGGUGAAAUGCGUAGAGAUCGGAAGGAACACCAGUGGCGAAGGCGGCUACCUGGCCAGAUACUGACACUGAAGCACGAAAGCGUGGGGAGCAAACA
Molecule: ribosomal RNA, 484 nt
Filed under: uncultured Legionella sp.
Lineage: Bacteria; Pseudomonadati; Pseudomonadota; Gammaproteobacteria; Legionellales; Legionellaceae
Description: bacterial SSU rRNA
Rfam family: Bacterial small subunit ribosomal RNA
Source: RNAcentral